GACGAACGCUGGCGGCGCGCCUAACACAUGCAAGUCGAACGGAGCUGAGAGAAGCUUGCUUUUCUUAGCUUAGUGGCGAACGGGUGAGUAACGCGUGAGUAACCUGCCCUGGAGUGGGGGACAACAGGGGGAAACGACUGCUAAUACCGCAUAAGCCCACGAUCCGGCAUCGGAUUGAGGGAAAAGGAUUUAUUCGCUUCAGGAUGGACUCGCGUCCAAUUAGCUGGUGGGUGAGGUAACGGCCAACCAAGGCGACGAUUGGUAGCCGGACGGGGAGGUUGACCGGCCACAUUGGGACUGAGACACAGCCCAGACUGCUACGGGAGGCAGCAGUGUGGGAUAUUGCACAAUGGGGGAAGCCCUGAUGCCGCGACGCCGCGUAGAGGAGGAAGGUUUUCGGAUUGUGAACUCCUGUCGUUAGGGACGAUAAUGACGGUACCUAACAAGAAAGCACCGGCUAACUACGUG
Molecule: ribosomal RNA, 468 nt
Filed under: uncultured bacterium
Lineage: Bacteria
Description: partial 16S ribosomal RNA
Rfam family: Bacterial small subunit ribosomal RNA
Source: RNAcentral